AUGAUUAUUGCUUUAAACUUUACAACUUAACACACUUCUUAGUUAUAUUAAUCUAAAGAUCUGUAUAGUUUUUGGUGAAAAUUCAAAAUUUUAUUUUUGUAAAAAAAAAGAGUUUUUUUCACACGUCUCGCUAUAUCUCAGAAACUAUUUAUGAUUAUUGCAUAAAACUUCACACACAAGACGAAGGGCGUGUCAUGCACUCAUG
This 205-nucleotide long non-coding RNA is filed under the name Mytilus galloprovincialis (Mediterranean mussel). The record is from RNAcentral. Lineage: Eukaryota; Metazoa; Mollusca; Bivalvia; Mytilida; Mytilidae.